UGUCGUCAGCUCGUGUCGUGAGAUGUUGGGUUAAGUCCCGUACGAGCGCAACCCUUGUCCUUAGUUACCAGCACGUUAUGGUGGGCACUCUAAGGAGACUGCCGGUGACAAACCGGAGGAAGGUGGGGAUGACGUCAAGUCAUCAUGGCCCUUACGGCCUGGGCUACACACGUGCUACAAUGGUCGGUACAAAGGGUUGCCAAGCCGCGAGGUGGAGCUAAUCCCAUAAAACCGAUCGUAGUCCGGAUCGCAGUCUGCAACUCGACUGCGUGAAGUCGGAAUCGCUAGUAAUCGUGAAUCAGAAUGUCACGGUGAAUACGUUCCCGGGCCUC
Molecule: ribosomal RNA, 332 nt
Filed under: uncultured Pseudomonas sp.
Lineage: Bacteria; Pseudomonadati; Pseudomonadota; Gammaproteobacteria; Pseudomonadales; Pseudomonadaceae
Description: bacterial SSU rRNA
Rfam family: Bacterial small subunit ribosomal RNA
Source: RNAcentral